Molecule: ribosomal RNA, 468 nt
Filed under: uncultured bacterium
Lineage: Bacteria
Description: partial 16S ribosomal RNA
Rfam family: Bacterial small subunit ribosomal RNA
Source: RNAcentral
GACGAACGCUGGCGGCGUGCUUAACACAUGCAAGUCGAACGGAAAGGCCCUGCUUUUGUGGGGUGCUCGAGUGGCGAACGGGGGAGUAACACGUGAGUAACCUGCCCUUGACUUUGGGAUAACUUCAGGAAACUGGGGCUAAUACCGGAUAGGAGCUCCUCCUGCAGGGUGGGGGUUGGAAAUUUUCGGCGGUUGGGGUUGGACUCGCGGCUUAUCAGCUUGUUGGUGGGGUAGGGGCUUACCAAGGCUUUGACGGGUAGCCGGCCUGAGAGGGUGACCGGCCACAUUGGGCCUGAGAUACGGCCCAGACUCCUACGGGAGGCAGCAGUGGGGAAUAUUGCACAAUGGGCGGAAGCCUGAUGCAGCAACGCCGCGUGCGGGAUGACGGCCUUCGGGUUGUAAACCGCUUUCGCCUGUGACGAAGCGUGAGUGACGGUAAUGGGUAAAGAAGCACCGGCUAACUACGUG